RNAcentral lists this ribosomal RNA (509 nucleotides) under uncultured bacterium. Its description in RNAcentral is "bacterial SSU rRNA". It matches the Rfam family "Bacterial small subunit ribosomal RNA", at positions 30 to 518 of the family's 1533-position model. The record is from RNAcentral.
CGAACGCUGGCGGCGUGCUUAACACAUGCAAGUCGAACGCGAAAGGGACCUCGGUCCUGAGUAAAGUGGCGCACGGGUGAGUAACGCGUAGAUAACCUGUCUUCAUGUCUGGAAUAAUACGCCGAAAGGGGUACUAAUACCGGAUAUUCUUGCUUUUCAUAAGUUAUGCAAGCAAAGGUGGCCUCUGCAUAUGCUACUGCAUGAAGAGGGGUCUGCGUACCAUUAGCUAGUAGGUGGGGUAAUGGCCUACCUAGGCGACGAUGGUUAGCGGGUCUGAGAGGAUGAUCCGCCACACUGGCACUGGAACACGGGCCAGACUCCUACGGGAGGCAGCAGUGAGGAAUAUUGCGCAAUGGGGGAAACCCUGACGCAGCGACGCCGCGUGAGUGAAGGAAGGCCUUCGGGUCGUAAAGCUCUGUCAAGAGGAAAGAAGUGUACAAUGGCUAAUACCUGUUGUAUUUGACGGUACCUCUAAAGGAAGCACCGGCUAACUCCGUGCCAGCAGCCGC